Molecule: ribosomal RNA, 497 nt
Filed under: uncultured bacterium
Lineage: Bacteria
Description: partial 16S ribosomal RNA
Rfam family: Bacterial small subunit ribosomal RNA
Source: RNAcentral
GAUGAACGCUGGCGGCGUGCCUAAUACAUGCAAGUCGAGCGAACAGAUGAGGAGCUUGCUCCUCUGACGUUAGCGGCGGAUGGGUGAGUAACACGUGGAUAACCUACCUAUAAGACUGGGAUAACUUCGGGAAACCGGAGCUAAUACCGGAUAAUAUAUUGAACCGCAUGGUUCAAUAGUGAAAGACGGUUUUGCUGUCACUUAUAGAGGGAUCCGCGCCGCAUUAGCUAGUUGGUAAGGUAACGGCUUACCAAGGCAACGAUGCGUAGCCGACCUGAGAGGGUGAUCAGCCACACUGGAACGGAGACACGGUCCAGACUCCUACGGGAGGCAGCAGUAGGGAAUCUUCCGCAAUGGGCGAAAGCCUGACGGAGCAACGCCGCGUGAGUGAUGAAGGUCUUCGGAUCGUAAAACUCUGUUAUUAGGGAAGAACAAAUGUGUAAGUAACUAUGCACGUCUUGACGGUACCUAAUCAGAAAGCCACGGCUAACUACGUG